Molecule: ribosomal RNA, 207 nt
Filed under: uncultured bacterium
Lineage: Bacteria
Description: partial 16S ribosomal RNA
Rfam family: Bacterial small subunit ribosomal RNA
Source: RNAcentral
CGCGUAGGCGGCUUGGCAAGUCAGAUGUGAAAUCCCCGAGCUUAACUUGGGAAUUGCAUCUGAAACUGUCGAGCUUGAGUCCUGGAGGGGGUAGUGGAAUUCCCAGUGUAGCGGUGAAAUGCGUAGAUAUUGGGAGGAACACCUGCGGCGAAGGCGGCUACCUGGACAGUGACUGACGCUGAGGCGCGAAAGCUAGGGGAGCGAACG